This 1119-nucleotide ribosomal RNA is filed under the name Sikaiana harti. RNAcentral's name for it is "SSU rRNA". It matches the Rfam family "Eukaryotic small subunit ribosomal RNA", at positions 450 to 1633 of the family's 1831-position model. The record is from RNAcentral. Lineage: Eukaryota; Metazoa; Arthropoda; Insecta; Hemiptera; Derbidae.
UCCAACNGGGAGGGGUGCUAUAGGCCCNUAUGGCAUGAUUCUAGUUAAUCGUNUGAGUACAUUUAAGUCCGUNAAGUGGAUCACUGCAGGGCAGUNAUGUGNCAUCAACUACGUAAUUCAAGUCCAUAGUGUAUAUAAAGUUGUGCAGUUAAAAGCUCGUAGUUGGCCUANCCCUGACAGGCGUUCGCCUCACGUGCGUAUGUCGACUGUGUNUUCCUCUCGUGAUCUGUGUUUCGGCAGCAGGGAUCCAGGACCUGUACUUAGUAGAAAUUAGAGUGCUCACAGCAGGCUUGAAUCCGGAAUCUAGUAACAAGGGAUUAUGAUAUAGGAUGUACUGUUCUAGUCUGUUGGUCCUUGGAAUCGCCGUAAUGAUUACUAGGGACAGUCGGGGGCAUUAGUACUCACAUGCUAGAGGUGAAAUUCGUGGAUUUUGUGAAGACUAACUUAUGCGAAAGCAUUUACCAAGGACGUUUUCAUUAAUCAAGAACGAAGGUUAGGGUAUCGAAAACGAUUAGAUACCGUUGUAGUCUUAACAGUAACCUACGCCGAAUCGGGAUCGGUAGAUGUAAUGUCUUUUACUCGAUCGGCACGUUACGAGAAAUCAAAGUUUUCGGGUUGAGGGGGGAGUAUGGUCGCAAGGCUGAAAGUUAAAGAAAUAGGCGGACCGCCACCACCAGGACUGGAGCCUGCGUCUUAAUUUGAUUCAACACGGGCACCCUCCCCAGGUCCAGACAUAGUAAGCAGUGACAGAUUUAUAUCUCUUUCCAGAGUGUAUGGGUGGUGGCUCAUGGCCGUUCGUAGGAGGAGGAGUGAUUUGUAUGGUUAAUUCCGAUAAGCGAACGAGACCUUAACCUGGUAAAUAGCCCCAUCGACUAUGGUUGGUGGUUGUCUUAGUAGAGGGACUAGUGGCUUCCAGCCAAGGGAAGUUGCAGGCAAUAACAGGUGUGUGAUGCCCUUAGAUGUUGUGGGCACGCAGCGCGCGCAUACNACUGACGGAGCCAACGAGUACUUUCCNGUCCGGAAGGAGCGGGGUAAUCUUGUGAAACUAGACUCGUGCUGGGGAUAGAGCAUUGCAAUUAUUGCUCUUCAACGAGGAAUUCCCUUAGAUUGGGANCUGGG